Molecule: long non-coding RNA, 1275 nt
Organism: Cicer arietinum (chickpea)
Lineage: Eukaryota; Viridiplantae; Streptophyta; Magnoliopsida; Fabales; Fabaceae
Source: RefSeq, a predicted model, not a curated record
UUUCUUUUUUGCCUGUUCGCUGGCAUAAUGUGUUCAAUAUUCACACUGUUACUGUUCAAGUCCGUUUGAUCGCCUAAUUCACGCCACCACCCACACCACAAGACUUGCCUCCACUAGAUCGGCCAAAACCCAAAGCACCGUAGUCGAUAGCUUAUUCACGCGCACGUGAUGCCCACUUCGGCACGUGAGGCCCACUUGCGACAUCAUCUUAUGCGCGUGAUGCCCAUAUGCCACCUUCUAAACCUCUGUUUUCAACUAGAUUCUAAAUCAGUUGUUUCUCGUUUUUUUGGGGGAUCACAUUAUGUUGCACAUACUUUUUGCUCGAACUUACAGUUUGUUGAUAUUUUUUGGAUAUUUGAAGUUUGUUUUGUUUGAUAGAUCUAUCUUUUGUCUCUAAUAUUGUUUGUCUGCUAAUUUUACGGAUAUGGCAGUUAAAGAAAGCUAAAGUGGAUUGACCUGACUCAGUGAACAUGAAGUAGAGAAGAUUAAAUCCCUUCUUAGUAAGUUGGAGAAACCAAUAGUCUGCCUUGGCAUGGAUUGAAAGCAGGUACUAAGAAGCAAAAGUAUGAGAGAAUCCGUGAGAUGAAAGUUUCUACUUCUAUUGAGUUGUUCUUGCCUUGUCGCUCCAGGAUUCCAGUUUGAUUAUGUCUUUGAUUGGACCAUUUUGAUAUAUCAACAGUCUCAAAUCGCCACUCCUCCUUCACGUACCAUUGGUCUUGCAGCUGGACCAAGUUCUGGUCUGCCAAGUUCUGGUCUGCCACUAGCUUCUCCAAAUGCUGAUGGACAGUCAGUUGUCAAGUUUGAAUUUCUUUCGAUAAAGUGGAUCUGCAAGGAGAGGUGCUAUCUUAAGCACAACCGUGAUGCAGUUGUUGGCAGUGAGACUGAGCCCUCUCGUCCUCUCACGCUGGAUUCGAGUCAAGGAACAUUUCAAAAAAGUUCUAGUGCUCAGAGAAGUUCACCUAUCUAUCAUGUCAUCUAAGCACAACCGAGUAUCAUCUGACAAGCUCUGUUUCGUAAUCAUUUCACAAGAUCAGAUAGUUAUUUAUAUUUAUCUAAUUUUUAGUGACAAUCAUCAUAGUAGUUAGAAAUCAAAAACAUAGAGUAACAGUCAUCAAAACAUGUAGUGACAGUUUAGGAACAUAGCAAGACACCCCUUUAUAAAGUUUCGGUAAAUUCGGGUGUCACUCAGUAUUUUUGACAUUUAAGAACGGCAUGUGACUUCUAGAUAAACUUUGUCCAUCAAUUUUCUUAUAGUGUAUUUGGAAGACUGGCUUA